This 776-nucleotide long non-coding RNA is filed under the name Lathyrus oleraceus (garden pea). RNAcentral describes it as "Pisum sativum (pea) long non-coding RNA (PSAT_LNC020514)". Lineage: Eukaryota; Viridiplantae; Streptophyta; Magnoliopsida; Fabales; Fabaceae. The record is from RNAcentral.
GACUAAAUUGGAUGCCAUCCAUGUUGAAAUCUCUAAAAUUUAGAAAACAGAAGACAAUCAAAUUUUAUCAUUUAAAUUUGAUUACAAUCAUCUAAUGUAAAACUCCAUAACUACAAGGUUCUUGAAAUUUAUAAAAAAACUAUUGGGUUGCAGACAUAACAACUUAAUGGAAACUCAUCAACUAUCGUGUCUUACGACUAAUACAUGCAAUCUAAGAAAAGUGUUUGUUUAUGCUCUUGGGUUUAACAACUCUUUAUCUAUUCUACAUUUACAGAAUAUGCUCACACACUUUGCUUUUGUAGGAAUCCGGCAGUAGAGUCUUUUUACACAAUCUUUGUCAUCAAAACAUCGAUAAAACGUCGCUGUAAAAAAAAUAAUAAAUAAAUAAAUUUAUUAAAAUUUAAUUAAAUUUUUUGUACAAAGUAUAAAAGGAAAUUCAAAAUGGAUAAAACUUCUUUACCUUCAACGUUUGUUGAACAUGAUAUAGAAAAAGAUAAAUAACUAAAAACUAUGAACAAACUAAUGAAGAAAAUUUGAAAUGGAUAGAAUUAUUUACCUUCAACAUUCAUUGCAACAAGAGAUAGAAAAAGAAAAAUAAUGAUAUCAUAAACUAAUUUGAUAAUUUGUGCCAUAUUUCUCCCCUUUACAUCUAACAUUUGGUUAAAUAACUUUACGAUUUAUAAAACCUCAUCGUCUCCUUACAUCAAUUAAAUAAUUUUUAGCAAUAAUGAAGUUGUAACAAAUAUCCUAAAUUGUAAUAAUUAUUGAAUGUCUCU